This 219-nucleotide long non-coding RNA is filed under the name Coffea arabica (coffee). RNAcentral's name for it is "long non-coding RNA (CARA_LNC004167)". The record is from RNAcentral. Lineage: Eukaryota; Viridiplantae; Streptophyta; Magnoliopsida; Gentianales; Rubiaceae.
CAUUAUUUUAUUUCUUUGGGCCGAACACUACUUAAGCCCAGCCAAAAGUCCAGAGCAGCGAGCAGGCCAGCCUAUCUUUUUAUCCCAAAAACCCAACAAAGAAACAUGAUCUCUGACCUCCAGCCCAAACCGAAACCCAAAAGAAAUAAACCAAAACCCAACCAAAGAUAACCACAAGCCCACCUAAAAGAAACAUUAGCCCAAACCCUUUUUUUUUUU